Molecule: ribosomal RNA, 459 nt
Filed under: uncultured bacterium
Lineage: Bacteria
Description: partial 16S ribosomal RNA
Rfam family: Bacterial small subunit ribosomal RNA
Source: RNAcentral
CCUACGGGGGGCAGCAGUGAGGAAUAUUGGUCAAUGGGCGGGAGCCUGAACCAGCCAAGCCGCGUGAGGGAAGAAGGUACAGCGUAUCGUAAACCUCUUUUGUCAGGGAACAAAGGCGGGGACUAGUCCCCGGCUGAGGGUACCUGAAGAAAAAGCAUCGGCUAACUCCGUGCCAGCAGCCGCGGUAAUACGGAGGAUGCGAGCGUUAUCGGGAUUUAUUGGGUUUAACGGGGGUGCAGUGGGCGUGUUAAGUCAGCGGGAAAACCCCGGGGCUAAACCCCGGCGAGCCGUUGAAACUGGCUGGCUGGAGUUGGAGAGAGGGACGCGGAAUGCGAGGUGUAGCAGUGAAAUGCUUAGAUAUCGCGCAGAACCCCGAUUGCGAAGGCAGCGUACCGGCUCCACACUGACGCUGAGGCACGAAAGCGUGGGUAGCGAACAGGAUUAGAUACCCCAGUAGUC